AGAGUUUGAUCCUGGCUCAGAGCGAACGCUAGCGGCGUGCCUAACACAUGCAAGUUGAGCGAGAAAGAGGGGGCAACUCCUUGAGUAAAGCAGCGAACGGGUGAGUAACGCGUGGGUAAUCUACCCAUAAGACUGGAAUAACCUUCCGAAAGGAGGGCUAAUACUGGAUAAGACCACGUUAUUUUAAGUAAUGUGGUUAAAGAUGGGGCUUCUUCGGGACCUAUCACUUAUGGAUGAGCCCGCGUCCCAUCAGCUAGUUGGUAGGGUAAUGGCCUACCAAGGCUAAGACGGGUAGCUGGUCUGAGAGGACGAUCAGCCACACUGGCACUGAAACACGGGCCAGACUCCUACGGGAGGCAGCAGUGGGGAAUAUUGCGCAAUGGGCGAAAGCCUGACGCAGCGACGCCGCGUGAGGGAAGAAGGUCUUCGGGUCGUAAACCUCUGUCGGGGGGAAAGAAACUUCUGGAGGUUAAUACCCUUCAGAAUUGACGGUACCCCCAAAGGAAGCAUCGGCUAACUACGUGCCAGCAGCCGCGGUAAUACGUAGGAUGCAAGCGUUGCUCGGAAUUAUUGGGCGUAAAGGGCGUGUAGGUGGUCCUGUAAGUCAGAUGUGAAAUCCCYUGGCUUAACCGGGGAAUUGCAUUUGAAACUGUGGGACUUGAGUACGGGAGAGGGGAGUGGAAUUCCUGGUGUAGCGGUGAAAUGCGUAGAUAUCAGGAAGAACACCUGUGGCGAAGGCGAUUCUCUGGACCGAUACUGACACUGAGGCGCGAAAGCGUGGGUAGCAAACAGGAUUAGAUACCCUGGUAGUCC
This 813-nucleotide ribosomal RNA is filed under the name uncultured bacterium. RNAcentral describes it as "bacterial SSU rRNA". It matches the Rfam family "Bacterial small subunit ribosomal RNA", at positions 8 to 796 of the family's 1533-position model. The record is from RNAcentral.